RNAcentral lists this ribosomal RNA (248 nucleotides) under uncultured bacterium. RNAcentral describes it as "partial small subunit ribosomal RNA". It matches the Rfam family "Bacterial small subunit ribosomal RNA", at positions 26 to 280 of the family's 1533-position model. The record is from RNAcentral.
AGGACGAACGCUGGCGGCGUGCUUAACACAUGCAAGUCGAGCGGAAAGGCCCUUCGGGGUACUCGAGCGGCGAACGGGUGAGUAACACGUGAGUAACCUGCCCCUAGCUCUGGGAUAGCUCCGGGAAACCGGGAUUAAAUACCAGAUACGACCACUUUAGACAUCUGUCGUGGUGGAAAGGAUUCCGGCUAGGGAUGGGCUCGCGGCCUAUCAGCUUGUUGGUGGGUAACGCCUACCAAGGCGACGAC